UUUGGCUCUAAAUGUAGUAUAUGAACCAAACAAAUGAAUAUGAAUGCAUUUUACAGCACAAGCAAUUUGUCCUGCCACAGAAAAAUCAUUCUACAACAUCAUGCAUAGUAGAGGAGUUGUACCGAAUUAUUCAACCAAUAAUAUUUUCGCGCACUCAGUAGGCAGUAGCAGAGUGAUGUGCAUGUUUGACAGCAACACAAGCAACAAUUUGUCUCCAAAACUUUAACCCGGAAUACCCACCUUAAGACUAAUCAAAUUCAGCACUAGUAGGCAGUAGCUCGUUGCAUUCAAAUCCAGCACUACCAGCAAUUUGUCCAAUUUGACUGCACUACAAAUCCACCUACAGAUAAUAGAACUAGGAAUUAGGAGCAUGUGAUUUGAUCGGGAACUAGGAAUUAGGAAUUAGGAAUUAGGAACUAGGACAAAUCCAGCAGUAGCUCGCUCCGUGAUGCUCCAGGCGCUGCUACAAUUUGACCAGGCGCUGCCGCAUGAGCCCAUAUGAAUUAGGAAGUUAGAACUAGGAGAAGAGGAGAAUAGAACCUGGUCCGCUGCCGACCUGCCGCUGGUCGCCCGUUCAGCGGCUCCGCUUGCCGCUGCCUGCAAUCAGUACUGGUCGCCGCCGC
Molecule: long non-coding RNA, 623 nt
Filed under: Triticum aestivum (bread wheat)
Lineage: Eukaryota; Viridiplantae; Streptophyta; Magnoliopsida; Poales; Poaceae
Description: long non-coding RNA (TAES_LNC021347)
Source: RNAcentral